CCUACGGGUGGCAGCAAUUAGGAAUCUUGCGCAAUGGGCGAAAGCCUGACGCAGCGACGCCGCGUGACUGAUGAAGUCUUUCGGGAUGUAAAGGUCUUUUCUGAAGGAAGAAAAAAAUGACGGUACUUCAGGAAUAAGCCCCGGCUAACUACGUGCCAGCAGCCGCGGUAAUACGUAGGGGGCGAGCGUUGUCCGAAUUCACUGGGCGUGAAGCGCGCGUAGGCGGGGUAUGAAGUUGGUGGUGAAAUCCCGAGGCUCAACCUCGGAACUGCCGUCCAAACUGAUAGCCGAGAGGUUUGGAGAGGGAACUGGAAUUCCAGGUGUAGCGGUGAAAUGCGUAGAUAUCUGGAGGAACACCCAUGGCGAAGGCAGGUUCCUGGCCAUAUCCUGACGCUGAGGUGCGAAAGCUAGGGUAGCGAACG
This 422-nucleotide ribosomal RNA is filed under the name uncultured prokaryote. Its description in RNAcentral is "bacterial SSU rRNA". It matches the Rfam family "Bacterial small subunit ribosomal RNA", at positions 338 to 774 of the family's 1533-position model. The record is from RNAcentral.